GCAUGCUUAACACAUGCAAGUCGGACGGGAAACACGGGAAAUGGUGUUUCCAGUGGCGAACGGGUGAGUAACACGUAAGAACCUGCCCUUGGGAGGGGAACAACAGCUGGAAACGGCUACUAGUACCCCGCAGGCUGAGAAGCAAAAGGAGGAAUCCGCCCGAGGAGGGGCUCGCGUCUGAUUAGCUAGUUGGUGAGGCAAUAGCUUACCAAGGCGAUGAUCAGUAGCUGGUCCGAGAGGAUGAUCAGCCACACUGGGACUGAGACACAGCCCAGACUCCUACGGGAGGCAGCAAGAUCGGAAGACCGA
Molecule: long non-coding RNA, 309 nt
Organism: Capsicum annuum
Lineage: Eukaryota; Viridiplantae; Streptophyta; Magnoliopsida; Solanales; Solanaceae
Exons: 3
Source: RefSeq, a predicted model, not a curated record